AUUGAACGCUGGCGGCAGGCCUAACACAUGCAAGUCGAACGGUAACAGGAAGCAGCUUGCUGCUUUGCUGACGAGUGGCGGACGGGUGAGUAAUGUCUGGGAAACUGCCUGAUGGAGGGGGAUAACUACUGGAAACGGGAGCUAAUACCGCAUAACGUCGCAAGACCAAAGAGGGGGACCUUCGGGCCUCUUGCCAUCGGAUGUGCCCAGAUGGGAUUAGCUAGUAGGUGGGGUAACGGCUCACCUAGGCGACGAUCCCUAGCUGGUCUGAGAGGAUGACCAGCCACACUGGAACUGAGACACGGUCCAGACUCCUACGGGAGGCAGCAGUGGGGAAUAUUGCACAAUGGGCGCAAGCCUGAUGCAGCCAUGCCGCGUGUAUGAAGAAGGCCUUCGGGUUGUAAAGUACUUUCAGCGGGGAGGAAGGGAGUAAAGUUAAUACCUUUGCUCAUUGACGUUACCCGCAGAAGAAGCACCGGCUAACUCCGUG
Molecule: ribosomal RNA, 490 nt
Filed under: uncultured bacterium
Lineage: Bacteria
Description: partial 16S ribosomal RNA
Rfam family: Bacterial small subunit ribosomal RNA
Source: RNAcentral